RNAcentral lists this transfer RNA (64 nucleotides) under Amblyomma latum. RNAcentral's name for it is "tRNA-Lys". Lineage: Eukaryota; Metazoa; Arthropoda; Arachnida; Ixodida; Ixodidae. The record is from RNAcentral.
CAUUGAAUGGCUGAAAUUUAAGCAAUGGUCUCUUAAACCAAUUUAUAGUACUAACUUUCAAUGA